AGUGAACGCUGGCGGUAGGCCUAACACAUGCAAGUCGAACGGCAGCACAGUAAGAGCUUGCUCUUACGGGUGGCGAGUGGCGGACGGGUGAGGAAUACAUCGGAAUCUACUUUUUCGUGGGGGACAACGUAGGGCAAGUUACGCUAAUACCGCAUACGACCUACGGGUGAAAGCAGGGGAUCUUCGGACCUUGCGUGACUGAAUGAGCCGAUGUCGGAUUAGAUAGUUGGCGGGGUAAAGGCACAACAAGGCGACGAUCCGUAGCUGGUCUGAGAGGGUGAUCGGCCACACUGGAACUGAGACACGGUCCAGACUCCUACGGGAGGCAGCAGUGGGGAAUAUUGGACAAUGGGCGCAAGCCUGAUCCAGCCAUACCGCGUGAGUGAAGAAGGCCUUCGGGUUGUAAAGCCCUUUUGUUGGGAAAGAAAAACAGCAUGCUAAUACCCCGCUGUUCUGACGGUACCCAAAGAAUAAGCACCGGCUAACUUCGUG
RNAcentral lists this ribosomal RNA (492 nucleotides) under uncultured bacterium. RNAcentral describes it as "partial 16S ribosomal RNA". It matches the Rfam family "Bacterial small subunit ribosomal RNA", at positions 29 to 507 of the family's 1533-position model. The record is from RNAcentral.